CAAGGGGAAAAAAAUAAAAUAAAAUAAAGCACCCCGUCCAUUUGUCAGAAGACAGAUGCAAGUGGUCAUCUCAGAUCUGAACUUGAAUCAUAAUAAUCUGUUCAUGUUUGGUUCAAAUGCAGUCUUCAGAAUCUGUACAAAGGAACAUUUUUAAAAUUACCUCAAGCCUGUUUGUCAUUUCCUUCCAUUUAAGCCUGUACAUCCACCAAUUCCGCUGGCAUAGGUGACUUUGGAUGUUUGCUCUCAAAAUGCUGCUUAAAUGUCUUGGGAUCAGGCAUCUGUGUCUGAAGGGGGAGGGGAAAAAAAAAAAAAAAAAAGUAAAGCACCACCUCUCUGUAAAUCAUUUGUGCUCUUAAAAA
Erpetoichthys calabaricus (reedfish) is the source of this 359-nucleotide long non-coding RNA. RefSeq lists it as uncharacterized. The transcript is spliced from 2 exons. Lineage: Eukaryota; Metazoa; Chordata; Cladistia; Polypteriformes; Polypteridae. The record is from RefSeq and is a predicted model, not a curated record.